This 661-nucleotide ribosomal RNA is filed under the name uncultured cyanobacterium. RNAcentral's name for it is "partial 16S ribosomal RNA". Lineage: Bacteria; Bacillati; Cyanobacteriota. The record is from RNAcentral.
GACUACAGGGGUAUCUAAUCCCUUUCGCUCCCCUAGCUUUCGUCCCUGAGUGUCAGUUUCGGUCCAGUAGCGCGCCUUCGCCACCGAUGUUCUUCCCAAUAUCUACGCAUUUCACCGCUACACUGGGAAUUCCCGCUACCCCUACCGUACUCUAGUCUCUCAGUUUCCACCGCCUGCCCGGAGUUGAGCUCCAGUCUUUGACAGCAGACUUGAAAGACCACCUGCGGACGCUUUACGCCCAAUAAUUCCGGAUAACGCUUGCAUCCUCCGUAUUACCGCGGCUGCUGGCACGGAGUUAGCCGAUGCUUAUUCCUCAGGUACCGUCAGAUCUUCUUCCCUGAGAAAAGAGGUUUACAACCCAAAGGCCUUCCUCCCUCACGCGGUAUUGCUCCGUCAGGCUUUCGCCCAUUGCGGAAAAUUCCCCACUGCUGCCUCCCGUAGGAGUCUGGGCCGUGUCUCAGUCCCAGUGUGGCUGCUCAUCCUCUCAGACCAGCUACUGAUCGUUGCCUUGGUAAGCUUUUACCCCACCAACUAGCUAAUCAGACGCGAGCUCCUCUUAAGGCAAAAAAUUUUCACCUUCCGGCACAUUGGGUAUUAGCAGUCGUUUCCAACUGUUGUCCCCAUCCUCAAGGCAGAUUCUCACGCGUUACUCACCCGUCCG